This 319-nucleotide long non-coding RNA is filed under the name Androctonus crassicauda. Lineage: Eukaryota; Metazoa; Arthropoda; Arachnida; Scorpiones; Buthidae. The record is from RNAcentral.
AAUUAACUAAUAAAUAUAAACGUUUUAAAAUUACAAUAACUCAAUGUUUUUGAUGCAUGACUUCCAAGCCACACUUAUGGCCGUUGGAUCGGUUUUAUUAAUUGGCUUGGAUUUAUCCCUCCUAUUCAUGUUAAUUGCAAUAGCUUAUGCAAUGCUUCCUCUUUUUGGGUCCUGCUGUUCAUAUAGGAGUCUAGACUCAUUCCACUUUAUAGAUAUAUCUGUUAAUCGGGCCCUUUGGGCUAACGCUGUGGAGGUUGCUCCAUUCGCAAUGUCCCUCUGAUGUUCCUUCAAUCGUUUAUUCAAAGAUCUUGAGGUAUAU